This 181-nucleotide ribosomal RNA is filed under the name uncultured Bacillus sp. RNAcentral's name for it is "partial 16S ribosomal RNA". It matches the Rfam family "Bacterial small subunit ribosomal RNA", at positions 160 to 334 of the family's 1533-position model. The record is from RNAcentral. Lineage: Bacteria; Bacillati; Bacillota; Bacilli; Caryophanales; Bacillaceae.
GGGCUAAUACCGGAUAAUUCUUUUCUACACAUGUAGAAAAGCUGAAAGAUGGUUUCGGCUAUCACUCAUAGAUGGGCCCGCGGCGCAUUAGCUAGUUGGUGAGGUAACGGCUCACCAAGGCGACGAUGCGUAGCCGACCUGAGAGGGUGAUCGGCCACACUGGGACUGAGACACGGCCCAG